AGUGAACGCUGGCGGUAGGCCUAACACAUGCAAGUCGAACGGCAGCACAGUAAGAGCUUGCUCUUACGGGUGGCGAGUGGCGGACGGGUGAGGAAUACAUCGGAAUCUACUUUUUCGUGGGGGAUAACGUAGGGAAACUUACGCUAAUACCGCAUACGACCUACGGGUGAAAGCAGGGGAUCUUCGGACCUUGCGCGAUUGAAUGAGCCGAUGUCGGAUUAGCUAGUUGGCGGGGUAAAGGCCCACCAAGGCGACGAUCCGUAGCUGGUCUGAGAGGAUGAUCAGCCACACUGGAACUGAGACACGGUCCAGACUCCUACGGGAGGCAGCAGUGGGGAAUAUUGGACAAUGGGCGCAAGCCUGAUCCAGCCAUACCGCGUGGGUGAAGAAGGCCUUCGGGUUGUAAAGCCCUUUUGUUGGGAAAGAAAAGCAGCAGGUUAAUACCCCGCUGCUCUGACGGUACCCAAAGAAUAAGCACCGGCCAACUUCGUG
This 492-nucleotide ribosomal RNA is filed under the name uncultured bacterium. RNAcentral's name for it is "partial 16S ribosomal RNA". It matches the Rfam family "Bacterial small subunit ribosomal RNA", at positions 29 to 507 of the family's 1533-position model. The record is from RNAcentral.